Long non-coding RNA from Lolium perenne, 488 nucleotides. RefSeq lists it as uncharacterized. The record is from RefSeq and is a predicted model, not a curated record. Lineage: Eukaryota; Viridiplantae; Streptophyta; Magnoliopsida; Poales; Poaceae.
GCCAUCAAGCUCCAACGGAGGAGUCACGCACGGACGUUUCAGUUUUGCAGUUUCUUGCAUUUCCUCCUUCGUGAUUACAGGCGAUUUAAGCCACCAUUUAACGCACCGUUUCUUCCUACUUAAGCCUCAGAUUCUCCUCUCUAAUUCCCUCCAAACGGCACACGAAGAGAGCCACCAGGCUGCUCGAAUUUAACCUCUCAAGUCUGCGGUACCGACGAGUUCCGAAGACGAUUCCGUCUCCGGCGAGCGAAUUUCGGCGAACUACUGCACCUCGACGUCCGCUACUUCAUCAUCGAGUUGGCCUUGCCAAGCUGAGCUUCGUCGUCUGGUACACCAUCGCCAAGAAGCACGAGAACAUGAACGCCAGCGACCACAUCCGACACGGCCAUCAUCGUCUUCGUGAGCACCGUCGCUGAUAGUACGGAGAGUUACGUGUAUUGCUGAGAUAAAGAGAAUGCUCUACAAUUUACCAAAAAGGCAAGUGUCAC